GAUGAACGCUGGCGGCGUGCCUAAUACAUGCAAGUCGAGCGAACAGACGAGGAGCUUGCUCCUCUGACGUUAGCGGCGGACGGGUGAGUAACACGUGGAUAACCUACCUAUAAGACUGGGAUAACUUCGGGAAACCGGAGCUAAUACCGGAUAAUAUAUUGAACCGCAUGGUUCAAUAGUGAAAGACGGUUUUGCUGUCACUUAUAGAUGGAUCCGCGCCGCAUUAGCUAGUUGGUAAGGUAACGGCUUACCAAGGCAACGAUGCGUAGCCGACCUGAGAGGGUGAACGGCCACACUGGAACUGAGACACGGUCCAGACUCCUACGGGAGGCAGCCGUAGUGAAUCUGCCGCAAUGGGCUAAAGCCUGACGGAGCAACGCCGCGUGAGUGAUGAAGGUCUUCGGAUCGUAAAACUCUGUUAUUAGGGAAGAACAAAUGUGUAAGUAACUAUGCACGUCUUGACGGUACCUAAUCAGAAAGCCACGGCUAACUACGUG
RNAcentral lists this ribosomal RNA (497 nucleotides) under uncultured bacterium. Its description in RNAcentral is "partial 16S ribosomal RNA". It matches the Rfam family "Bacterial small subunit ribosomal RNA", at positions 28 to 507 of the family's 1533-position model. The record is from RNAcentral.